AUAACAUUUGGAAACAGAUGCUAAUACCGCAUAAAACCUAACACCGCAUGGUGUAGGGUUGAAAGAUGGUUUCGGCUAUCACUUUAGGAUGGACCCGCGGGUGCAUUAGUUAGUUGGUGAGGUAAAGGCUCACCAAGACCGUGAUGCAUAGCCGACCUGAGAGGGUAAUCGGCCACACUGGGACUGAGACACGGCCCAGACUCCUACGGGAGGCAGCAGUAGGGAAUCUUCCACAAUGGACGAAAGUCUGAUGGAGCAACGCCGCGUGAGUGAAGAAGGUUUUCGGAUCGUAAAACUCUGUUGUUGGAGAAGAAUGUAUCUGAUAGUAACUGAUCAGGUAGUGACGGUAUCCAACCAGAAAGCCACGGCUAACUACGUG
This 379-nucleotide ribosomal RNA is filed under the name uncultured bacterium. Its description in RNAcentral is "bacterial SSU rRNA". It matches the Rfam family "Bacterial small subunit ribosomal RNA", at positions 143 to 507 of the family's 1533-position model. The record is from RNAcentral.